This 496-nucleotide ribosomal RNA is filed under the name uncultured bacterium. Its description in RNAcentral is "partial 16S ribosomal RNA". It matches the Rfam family "Bacterial small subunit ribosomal RNA", at positions 29 to 507 of the family's 1533-position model. The record is from RNAcentral.
AUGAACGCUGGCGGCGUGCCUAAUCCAUGCCAGUCGCGCGAACAGACGAGGAGCUUGCUCCUCUGACGUUAGCGGCGGACGGGUGAGUAACACGUGGAUAACCUACCUAUAAGACUGGGAUAACUUCGGGAAACCGGAGCUAAUACCGGAUAAUAUAUUGAACCGCAUGGUUCAAUAGUGAAAGACGGUUUUGCUGUCACUUAUAGCUGGAUCCGCGCCGCAUUAGCUAGUUGGUAAGGUAACGGCUUACCAAGGCAACGAUGCGUAGCCGACCUGAGAGGGUGAUCGGCCACACUGGAACUGAGACACGGUCCAGACUCCUACGGGAGGCAGCAGUAGGGAAUCUUCCGCAAUGGGCGAAAGCUUGACGGAGCAACGCCGCGUGAGUGAUGAAGGUCUUCGGAUCGUAAAACUCUGUUAUUAGGGAAGAACAAAUGUGUAAGUAACUAUGCACGUCUUGACGGUACCUAAUCAGAAAGCCACGGCUAACUACGUG